Molecule: long non-coding RNA, 1116 nt
Organism: Cydia splendana
Lineage: Eukaryota; Metazoa; Arthropoda; Insecta; Lepidoptera; Tortricidae
Exons: 2
Source: RefSeq, a predicted model, not a curated record
UACAAUAAACAAAGAGUUAGUUUAGUAUUUCUUGGACCACCCAAAUGAUUAAAAACACACCGCCCAAUCGUAUGUUGCUAGUAAUAUUGACUUUAUGACUAUUAAAACAAGAAUAAGGUAGAAAAUGAAAUGUAUAAAAACAAUUUGCUAUCAGAAACUAGGGGUAACCAAGGUGUACUUAUUUACGACAUGUCAUGAACAUUCCAUUUAUCUAUAAGUUAAUUACCUACAAGGUGUUCUAAUGUUAUAUAAUCUAACUUUAUGUGCGUAUACAAAUUUGUUGUUUCCAGGAAUUUAAGUACGGUGCUUAGAGAUAUUUCCGAAUAAAGGGUUAAUUCCGAAACUGUUCUUCGAAAUAAAGUAUGAAAGGAAAAGUAAUGUCCAGCGAGCUGCAAAAGUACACACCCACUUUAUGAUUGAAUUCCAUUCAUAAUGUGUCCAUGUAAAUUUGCAGCACGCCGUAAGUACAUUGGAUCAUCAUCAUCAGUUUUUAUUCAGGAUUUUUACUAUUUUCGGAAUGAUCCAAAGCACAGUUUAAAGUAGAGGAGUGCCGUAUUGUAAAUAUGAAUAGAGUCUGUGCGGAAAGAGAAGAGUCAUGGAAUGUAUGGGGCCCAAUACAUUACACGACUCUUCUCUUUCCGAACAGACUACUAUGUAGAUGAUUACGUUCGAAGGCAAGACACACUACACGCGGCGGAAGGAGGCUACGACAAUAAAAUCCAAUGUUUACAAAGAUUCAUCUUCCUAUCCGUACUCUGAUCCGUCCGUAUGUCCUCAUGAUAUCUAGGCGACAGUCGGGUCAAUCGGGGUCGGCAAUAGUAUUCAAACCCCUUCUAAUAUUGAAUGCCGGAUAAAAACAAUCCGAAUGUCGCAAUAAUACAACAUUGUGGUUUAGUAACGAAGUGUCACGAACGCAGUCCUCAGCAGUAGAUUGUUAUGUUACUCGAAACGGACUCUGUGUUACUAAGGAAUAAUGCACAUGGUGCUCGAAAACUCCUUUUGAGGAUCCGUAAUAACGAAGCAACGAGUGACUUAAACUGUACCUCUGUAUUGUGAAUUAAUGAACCCCUGUAGAUAAAAUAUAUGAAUUAAAAGAUUACCAAAUUGAAAUAUCAA